UGUAACUCGGUGAAUGCUUUAAAAUCACAGUCACGACAACAAAUGGCAGCGAUUUUUCGUUUUUGCGAUCAUGUAACAUAGAUCUUCCACCGAAAUGACGUCAUCUUGGAUCGUUCUCUGUCACGGUCACUUGUAGGGAUUUAUUCAAGUUUUAGGCCUGUUUUUACGUAUCGAUAGUCAGUUUAAGCGAUUAUGUAAGCAUAGUGAUCAUAGAAAUAGGUGACACUGAAGUUGUCAAAGUCAAUCGCUAUAAAAACUAAUAGAGAGCAGUGUUUUAACAAAGUUUACUUGACGCCUGUGAUUCAUUAUUUACAAAUAAAAGGACUUUUAGGAUUUUUUUGAAUUUUGUACUAUAAAGUGUUUACUGACAUCGCCGUGUCCUACAUGCAUUUGUAUUGUACGCGGAAACGGAUCUAAAAGGAUGACUUUGCAUGCUGAGAUCCACAGAGAUCUAAGUGAUCCAUUACAGCUUUGUGAGACCGAGUUCAUUGCAAAACUUUCGUGUCGCGAUACCAGCAGGUUUUAGAAGAAAUACAAAGUCUUCGAACAACUGCUGUUCGCAAUAAACUAGAAGUCUUGGCAGCUUUAAGCAUUUAUGCCAAUGGAUCAUACAAAUGUCUCUAUGAUGGCUAAGGCAUCUUUUACCAAAUGCCUACAUGAGUCACUGACGCUCCUGAAUACCCCAGCUGUUUAAAAAAAAUGUGUUAAGUUCCCUUUGCAUUAAACACAAAAUCAUUAUAAAUAAAUAUGUGAUGCCAAUCUAAUAAUAACAUAGUGGAUGCUCAAUUUGGUAGUGCAUCAUAUGACUUGUACAUGUGGAACCAGUGCAAUAAAACCACUUGAGGAAAACCUGCGCAAUAGGGACUGCUAUUGGUUGUUAGGUGACCAAUGUUUGCAUGAUGACCCCCAUCUUGGGAGCUGCUCCUAGAUCCCAUGAAGAUUUGCACAACAUUGCUGUGUCAGAAAUACUGUGAAGCCUUGUAGUUCGGUGCAUAUUGUAAAGUGUUUCCUCACUCCAGAACCAUGAACUCUGGUUUCCUAAACCCUCAAGCUAUGCAACCGAAGGAGGAGACUUAUCACAGGAGAAUCACUAAUAAUUUUGAACAAGUGAAGACCUUAACAAUGUUUCAACCAACACCUAAAGAAGCUUUCACUUGGCUGUUAGAUCAAGGGCUGGAUACAGAAAACAGUAAUCCUUGUGAUGGCGCGUAUUGUCCAAGGAUUCCUCACUCUAAACCAUGAUAACAAGUUGCUAGAACCCUCAAGCUAUGCAGACAAAGGACUGGAUAUAUUUUUUCGUGACCAAGCCUUCUGUAUAAUUAUUUAUACUUAAACCAUACAAAGCACUAUCUAGCCCCAAAGUAGGCAUACAGAGUAGCUUGUGUUGUGGGUACUAAGAUACUUGAUAUUAUAAUAUUCAUUUACAUUUAUAUACUACCUAUAAACACUUAUAUAAUGUAUAAAGACACACAAGACACUGGAAAAAACCCAUACUCUUCACACAAAUAUUUUCCAGGUGUGGGAAUCGAACCCAUGACCGUGGAUGCAGGAGCACUACUUACUGCGCCACGCGUAUGUGUUUUUAUUUUGAAGCAAAUUAUUAAAGUUGAUAAUUCAAAUUGUAGUCAUGUUUUUAAUUAAUCUAUAAUUAAUUUUUAAUUUACAUUUUUGUUAAAUAUUUACCUAUACUUCAGUCUAUUUUUGUUAGAGGGGGUACCUAUAUGUGUAAGUAGGGUCGUUUCUUGAUUAAAUUAAACUAAAGAAUGAAAGAUAUAUAUUAUAACAAAAUUUGUCAACAACAAUAUAUCAAGUCUGAAUAAAAAAUACCAACACAAGUAAAUAUAUUUUUUAUUUUUAAGUAAUAGAUGUUACACAAAUAUAGAGUAUCUACUUUAACUACCUGGCCCUACCAACUUAACAUUAAACAACAUUGUUUUUAAUCAAAUCAUUAUUUAUUUAUUUCCUACAAUGUGGUAGGUACAUGUUUUGUUCUUAAAAUUUUUGAAUUGUCGUCGUCGUCGUCAUCAACCCAUAUUCGGCUCACUGCUGAGCUCGAGUCUCCUCUCAGAAUGAGAGGGGUUAGGCCAAUAGUCCACCACGCUGGCCCAAUGCGGAUUGGCGGACUUCACACACGCAGAGAAUGAAGAUAAUUCUCUGGUAUGCAGGUUUCCUCACGAUGUUUUCCUUCACCGAUUGAGACACGUGAUAUUUAAUUUCUUAAAAUGCACACAACUGAAAAGUUGGAGGUGCGUGCCCCGGAACGGGUUCGAACCCACACCCUCCGGAAUUGGAGGCAGAGGUCACAUUCACUGGGCUAUUAGGGAUAAUAAUAAUAGUUAAAUAAUAUUUCCUCCUAAUAAUAGAUAAUAAAACAUAUUUUGAUGUGCAAUUUUACAAUAAAAUUUUUAUCUAAUACUAUGUAAUACUGAAAUUAACCAAAUGAUAAUAAUCAUAUUCUUUAUAUACAGUGAUGUCAUAAUUAACUAUAUUAAAUUAAAAUGAAAUUAUAUUUGACAAUUUUCUCUCAUAUGCAAUGUCAUUAUUGAUAAUAAUCUUAUAAAAAAUCUGUUCAUUAAAUGUUUGUUUAAUUCUUUCUUCAUGAAUCGUUCAUAGAGAUGAAGGAUUCAGAAUCACCAAUUUUUUCAAGGUGUUUUGCACCUCAAUGGUGACCAGCGACAUGGAGACUUCCAUAGUCAGUCCCUGGCACUCAAAGUUUAGAGCCCACAUCUUCAUGUUGAUCUGAAAUGUAGAAAAUAUUUUUUUAUUACAUGAACUACAUAUGCCCCCGGUUUCUUUAAGUAGAUCUCAUAUUGAGAUAAGAAAUGGCCUAUGUAUUAUAUCUUGAUUAAGAGUUUAUAUAAAUGACAAAUCUAGGGGGGGUUAAUUGAUAUAUUUAUACCUCAGGUAUAUUACUUGGUUCUACAAUAUAUUUCUGUGAGAUGGUGAUAACAAAAAUAAUACUUUGUUGUAUUUAUGUUGAGCUUCUUUUCAGACGAAGAAUGUUUGUGAUCCUUUAGUUUCAGGUUAAUGAAUAUUGUUAUCAUAAACAAUACAUUAUUGUAAAUGAUAACAAUAUUCAUUAUAUGUGUGUGAUAUUUAACAAAUCAAAAUGAUGAUAUUUAACAAAUCAAAAUGUGCAAUAUUUAUUAAGCUGAACAUGCACAUAAUAAAAGAAAAUAUAAAGUACAAAUUAUUAUUUGAAUUAGCAAUUAUUAUCAUUAAGAAUUACAUACACUGGAUUAGGUAAUACUAUUCAUUCAUUCAUGAUUAGACCAAUAGUCCACCACUCUGACCCAAAGCGGAUUAGCAGACUUUACAUAAGCAGAAAAUUAAGAGAAUUAUCUGGUAUGCAGGUUUCCUCACGAUGUUUUCCUUCACCAUUUGAUACAUGUGAUAUUUAAUAUCUUAAAAUGUACACAACUGAAAAGUUGGAGCUGCAUGCCCCGGACUGGAUACAAACCCACACCCUCUGGAAUCUGAGGCAGAGGUUACAUCCACUGGGCUAUUGCUGUGCUUAUGGACCUGUAUCCCUGGCAAACCCUCUAGUCUAUACUCUGCAGCAACUGGGCUUUUAUGGGAUUAAACUGAACUCUUUUGUUUUUUGAUUUGCCUUAUAUUUUAUCCAGUUUUGUAGGAGAUACAUAUACUUGUAGGAUUUAACUUAACUAUAUAUUGUAAUUGAAAUUUGAAUUAAUUAUUUUAAGUGGCUAGCCUCAAUCAUCAUAAAAAAAUUACUAAUCAAGGUAGGAUUUUAUAUUUAGCCUUAAUGUAACUAAAACAAAAACCUACAAAUACAAACAAUUCUAAUACAUCUGCAUAAUAAGACAAAGUUUGAUUUUGAUUAUUCGUGUUGUACUUUGCAAGCCUUAUAGUUUGUGCCGGUUUUUGUGAAACGAUUUGGAUGAAAUUUCUAGUGCGUCACCAGCCAAACAUACAGCUUGUAGACCAGAAUCUCAAAUGUUACCACCGAGAUUCUGGCUUUCGGAUCUAUACCCGUAGGAGGAUGCGGGGUUAAGUAAACAAAAAAAACACUUUUACAGUAAUCACCGGUAUUUGGCUUCUAUAUUUUUAGAUGAACCUUUUUUUUACAAUAUAAAAGUAAUGCUAAACCCUUGAGAAACCCUAAAAGGACAAAAUAUUAAUGGGUUAAAUUACAUAAAAAAAACCAGGUUUCCUAAAUGUUAAGUUACUUUGUACAUACUUUGUAAAUAAACAGUGGUUAUCUCAAA
Long non-coding RNA from Bicyclus anynana (squinting bush brown), 4229 nucleotides. RefSeq lists it as uncharacterized. The record is from RefSeq and is a predicted model, not a curated record. Lineage: Eukaryota; Metazoa; Arthropoda; Insecta; Lepidoptera; Nymphalidae. The transcript has 7 exons.